This 1044-nucleotide ribosomal RNA is filed under the name uncultured cyanobacterium. Its description in RNAcentral is "bacterial SSU rRNA". It matches the Rfam family "Bacterial small subunit ribosomal RNA", at positions 338 to 1398 of the family's 1533-position model. Lineage: Bacteria; Bacillati; Cyanobacteriota. The record is from RNAcentral.
CCUACGGGGGGCAGCAGUGGGGAAUUUUCCGCAAUGGGCGAAAGCCUGACGGAGCAACGCCGCGUGAGGGAUGAAGGCCUCUGGGCUGUAAACCUCUUUUAUCAAGGAAGAAGAUCUGACGGUACUUGAUGAAUAAGCCACGGCUAAUUCCGUGCCAGCAGCCGCGGUAAUACGGGAGUGGCAAGCGUUAUCCGGAAUUAUUGGGCGUAAAGCGUCCGCAGGCGGUCUGUCAAGUCUGCUGUUAAAGCGUGGAGCUUAACUCCAUUUCGGCAGUGGAAACUGACAGACUAGAGUGUGGUAGGGGCAGAGGGAAUUCCCGGUGUAGCGGUGAAAUGCGUAGAUAUCGGGAAGAACACCAGUGGCGAAGGCGCUCUGCUGGGCCAUAACUGACGCUCAUGGACGAAAGCCAGGGGAGCGAAAGGGAUUAGAUACCCCUGUAGUCCUGGCCGUAAACGAUGAACACUAGGUGUCGGGGGAAUCGACCCCCUCGGUGUCGUAGCCAACGCGUUAAGUGUUCCGCCUGGGGAGUACGCACGCAAGUGUGAAACUCAAAGGAAUUGACGGGGGCCCGCACAAGCGGUGGAGUAUGUGGUUUAAUUCGAUGCAACGCGAAGAACCUUACCAGGGUUUGACAUCCUGCGAAUCUCUUGGAAACGAGAGAGUGCCUUCGGGAGCGCAGUGACAGGUGGUGCAUGGCUGUCGUCAGCUCGUGUCGUGAGAUGUUGGGUUAAGUCCCGCAACGAGCGCAACCCACGUCUUUAGUUGCCAGCAUUUAGUUGGGCACUCUAGAGAGACCGCCGGUGAUAAACCGGAGGAAGGUGUGGAUGACGUCAAGUCAUCAUGCCCCUUACAUCCUGGGCUACACACGUACUACAAUGCUACGGACAAAGAGCAGCAAGUUCGCGAGGACAAGCAAAUCUCAUAAACCGUGGCUCAGUUCAGAUCGUAGGCUGCAACUCGCCUACGUGAAGGAGGAAUCGCUAGUAAUCGCAGGUCAGCAUACUGCGGUGAAUACGUUCCCGGGCCUUGCACACACCGCCCGUC